GAAGAGGCCGGCAGGCAGCCAGGAUGGGACACAGCUCACAGGACCCCCACCUCUGCUGGACCACCAGGCUCCUGGGAGUCAUUAGCCUGCUCUGUGCCUGCAGCACUUUAGCCAAGAGUUCUGGAGCUCAUGGAUCUGGGAUUAAAGGUUUUAGAACCCACACUUAUCUGAAGGCGAUCCGGGGAAGUUCGGUCUUGUUGCAAGUGAUCCAGGAGCCAGAGGAUCCCAAGAUAGAGGAGAUCUCCUGGGGCGUCAUCACCUCUGAGUCAAACUCCACAUUCGUGCUGAGACUCCAGAAUGGGAAGGAAGAUCCACUGUGGUUCAGUCUUCAGGACAAGUACAAGCAGAGGGUCCAGGUGCCCAGUAUGUCAUCCCUGAGGAUUAACAAUUUGACCUCACAGGACAGUGGGCAGUACUGGGCCCAGAUCAUGUUUCAGACGGGAAGAGAAAUUAAACCAGUUUUCCACCUCACUGUGUACGAUCCUGUGCCCCUUGCCCAGAUCUGGACCACGUCAGCGUCCAUCACGCCCAGCUGGUGCAAUGUCACUCUGGAGUGUGGGGCCCGAGAGGCUGUAGAGGUCCUGAAUGUAACCUGGGAGGUCCAGGGUCCCCCCAGUGAGCUGGAGCAGAGAGGGGCCCCAGGACCCCCCAACCCUUGGACCCUGGCCUUGAGCCUGCCACCGAGCCAGCCCAAUGUCAGCUUCACCUGUGUCCUCAGCAACCCAGUGGACCAGAAAAAUGCCA
This 744-nucleotide long non-coding RNA is filed under the name Marmota marmota marmota (Alpine marmot). RNAcentral describes it as "lncRNA (ENSMMMG00000009901.1)". The record is from RNAcentral. Lineage: Eukaryota; Metazoa; Chordata; Mammalia; Rodentia; Sciuridae.